RNAcentral lists this ribosomal RNA (253 nucleotides) under uncultured prokaryote. Its description in RNAcentral is "partial 16S ribosomal RNA". It matches the Rfam family "Bacterial small subunit ribosomal RNA", at positions 525 to 777 of the family's 1533-position model. The record is from RNAcentral.
ACGAAGGGGGCUAGCGUUGCUCGGAAUGACUGGGCGUAAAGGGCGCGUAGGCGGCUGUCACAGUCAGAAGUGAAAUUCCUGGGCUCAACCUGGGGACUGCUUUUGAUACGUGGCGGCUUGAGUGGGGAAGAGGGUUGCGGAAUUUCCAGUGUAGAGGUGAAAUUCGUAGAUAUUGGAAAGAACACCGGUGGCGAAGGCGGCAACCUGGUCCUUGACUGACGCUGAGGCGCGAAAGCGUGGGGAGCAAACAGGA